AUGCGGAGGGUUGGAGCUCGUGAGCGAAGGCGCUGAAUCCUGAGGGUCAGAUCUCCAAGAAGGAGGGAGGCUGGUCCUAGUUCCCGAGGUCCUAGACUAGGUCUAGAUCACUGGGUAAAAGAAGGGGAGCGGCAGCACGUAUGGGGUAGGCGCUCUCACUACUCACAUCUCGAGACCUUUGCCGGCGUAGGGCUGUCCGGGGGGAACGACCCGCCUUUUCCGGUAUCGGUUGUCAUGGCGGCGCCCAGCCCAGCCUGGUUUUUUCCGGUAGCCAAUUGAACUAACAACCCCGUUCCCUUUAGGACUAAUCUGUCACGGCGGCGCCCUACCUCUUCUUCCGGCCCGGCUCGUCAUGGCGGCGCCCUGAGUAGCCACUUCCGCCCUCUUCUGGCUAAAUUGCUUCAUCCCUAUUUCCGGCUUGCCAUGGCAGCGCUCGGGGUUUAACGGAAGUAAGCAAUGGAAAGUAUGGUGGUGCCUCGGGUCCAAAGAGAAUGCGCCGCUGAGUUGCGCGGCACCUGACGGGAUUGAGCCUCAGACACAAGCGCUCCAAAUCUCCGACUGUAGCUGAUCUUUCAAGACUCUAGUCAAAAUGAGCAGAACAUUUUGCAGUUAAUCAUAGAGUUGAAGAUGAACGAGAAGAUGAACGAGAGCUACUUGAUUGUGAACUAGUAACGACCACUUGGAGUCGCAGUGUGUCUGUAAAAUGAUGAUGACAGUGACAUCAUAGAGGACAUAGUGCAAGUGAACAGUUUGAUACUGAGCUUGGAGCCUCAGUAGUUCUGGAUAAGUGAGAGCUGUACGGGAGGUUGUAACCAUGAGCUACCCUGGUUGGCAGUUGACAUCCGAGGACCAGCACUGGUCAUCGCACAGAAAGAAAACUUUACACCUUGAGAUCCCUCCAUUCUUCUUAAACUUCCAAGUGUAUGUUUGAUGGGAGAAGAGGGGAAGGGAUCAACAUUUAAAGGCUCUGGAAGGAGUCAGAUAACUGUUUUUGGCUUCAAAUGUAGAAUGAAUCCCUAGAUUUUCCUCUACUGAGAGAAUGAAAUCUUAACCCAUUCCGUUCCCUUGUUGGUACUCAGAAACGGAUACCCCAAAGAUGCAUUUUGACAUGCUGAAAGGCCUUAGAAGCUGCCUUAGAAGAUCUGUCUAACCUUGUCUUGUUGGUGUGUGGAAGUGGGAAUGCCCACAGGUGCACAGGGAGGGAGUUUCUGAAAUUAUCUGACCGAGAAAGCAAAAAAAAAAAAUCAAUUGUCUUAAACCCGGUUUCUAGGGAUCUCAUUAAAGAACUAGGAAAAAUUAACCACCUGUUAACAGAAAAACCAAACUGAAAUGUUUUAAAGAGAUUUAUUUUGAGCCAAUAUGAGUGACCAUGGCCUGGGGAACACAGGCUCAAGAGGUCCUGAGAAAGUGUGCCUGAGACAGUAGAAUUACAGUUUGGUUUUGUACAUUUUAGGUGGACAGGAGUUACAGACAAAGACAUAAAUCAGUACAUGGAAGGUACAGAUUGUGUUCAGCUGGGUGCAGUGGCUCACGCCUGUAAUCCCAGCACUUUGGGAGGUCGAGGUGGGCGAAUCGCUUGAGGUCAGGAGUUCGAGACCAGCCUGGCUAACAUGGUGAAACCGUGUCUCUACAAAAAAUACAAAAAAUUAGCCAGGGAUGGUGGCAGGCACCUGUAGUCCUGGAGCUACUCAGGAGGUUGAGGCACGAGAAUUGCUGCGGAGGUUGUAGUGAGCCGAGACCACACCACUGCACUCCAGCCUGGGUGACAGAGCAUGACUCUGUCUCAAAAAAAAAAAAAAAAUUCUACGGUAUUUUUAUAAUACAUUUUGUAGUACCACUUAUAACCACUUGGGUGCGUGGGUUGCCCAUUAAAUCAAACAGUUUACAGUUCACCCUUGAACAACAUGGAUUUAAACUGUACUGGUCCACUUAUACUCAGAUUUUCUUCUGCCGCUGUCACUCUGAGACAGCAAGACCAACCCCCCUUCCUCUCCUCAGCCUACUCAAUGUGAAAAGGACAAGGAUGAAGGCCUUUAUGAUGAUCCACUUCCACUUAAUGAAUAGUAUAUUUUAUCUUCCUUACGAUUUCCUUAAUAACAGUUUCUUCUCUCUACUUUACUAUUGCAAGAAUACAGUAUAUAAUGCAUAUAACAUACAAAAUAUGUGUUCAUCUAUGUCAUCAGUAAGACUUCAGAUCGACAGUAGGCUAUUAAUAGUUAAGUUUUGGGGGAGUCAAAAGUUAUAUGUGGAUUUUCUACUGCAUUGUUUAAGGGUCAACUGUAGAUUCAACGACUACCUAGGAUUGUAGAGUUGACUGAUAGCACUGGGACUGAUGAUAACAUCAUAACCUGUAAGAAGUGUCAACAAUGGUGAUGGACCCCCAGCAACCCUGGAGUGGGGAUGUCUAAAGAUAGAUGUCAUCCACCAGGCAGGAGUUGGUGCUGCCAGUGUGUCAUGUACUGCAGCCUCUUUUAUUUAUUUAUUUAUUUUUAUUUAUUUUUUGAGACAGCAUCUCGCUUUGUCACCCAGGCUGGAAUGCAGUGGCACAAUCUCGGCUUACUGCAACCUCCACCUCCCGGGUUCAAGCGAUUCUUCUGCCUCAGCCUCCCAAAUAGCUGGGACUACAGGUGCGCACCACCACGCCAGGCUAAUUUUUGUAUUUUUAGUAGAGACGGGGUUCCAUCAUAUUGGCCAGGCUGGUCUCAAAGUCCUGACCUCGUGAUCCGCCCAUGUCGGCCUCCCAAAGUGCUGAGAUUACAGGUAUGAGCCACAGCGCCUGGCCUGCAGUCCCUUUUACUACAACAAAUAUGGGAAAGAGUCACAGGUGUGGCAUACGGUGGUGGCUUCUGCGUUAGAAACAUAGGCCAAGUACAGUGGCUCAUGCCUAUAAAUCUCAGCACUUUGGGAAACUGAGGUGGCCAGACUGCUUGAGCCCAGGAGUUUGAGAUCAGCCUGGGCAACAUGGCGAAAUUCUGUCUCUACAAAAAGUACAAAAGUUACCCGGGUGUGGUGAUGUCAUAGGUAGUAGAUUUAUCCUUCAAACAUCAACAACUAAAAAAUCUGGACAAAAUAGGAGACAACAGAGUUCAGACAUUGGAAACAAGCAUUGUAGCACAGUGGUCCCCAAGAGAAAGGAGACAAAUGAAGUGACCUUAGUGGCCCGGCUUAUGUCUGGAGAGUUAGUUUCUAGGCUACAUAGCCCAGGGGUGUCCCUGAGUUGGGACAAAGUUGAGAAUUUGGAGAGGCCAAGGCAGCUAGUUUGUAAGGCAGGGUACCAGAGAGUAGCGCAGCACAGACCUGCAAAGGGUUUCCUGCACGUGUAGCGCACAGCAUGCCUGUGAACACACUCCUGGAAACCAAGGGAACUACCAGGAAGGUGCAGGCAGAGCAAUCCCCGGAGCCAUAGUGGAGACCAUCACUGUGCACUGGCUAAACUACUCAAAGAUACUGCCUGUCUAGUGAGGCAAAAUUAGCCCUAAUGGCCGCUCUGGUCUCACCUAAGUAAGCUCAGAAACACUGAAGCAAGCUCUCAGUUCGAAGGAAAAUGGAAAUCUGGCAUAUGAAAUCAAGAUCUCCAGAUACAGUAAAUAUAACUCUUAUGACAAAAUAGCACAAAGGCCAAGAGACAGGAAAGUGUGUGCUGUUGCUAAGUUGUUCUACUACCUGUGAAGUGGUAGAAUAUUACAUAAAAGUGUGACAAGUCUAAAGAUGUACACUAGAAAUUUUAAGAGAAACAACAAAAAAUGAAAAUGGAGGUAGGGUUAAUAAGCCAACAAAGGAGAUAAAAAUGAAAUAAUACAAAAUAAAUUAGCCCCGCACAAGUAUGGCCAUCUGAUUUAAACCCUGUCACUCCAGCUGGAGUGCAGUGGCGUGAUCACGGCUCACUGCAGCCUCGACUCCCAGGCUUAGACGAUACUCCCACCUCAGCCUCCUGGGGAGCUGGGACUACAGGUGCACACCACCAUGCCUGGCUAAUUUUUUUAGUAGAGAUGGGGUCUGGCUGUGUUGCCCAGGCUGGUCUCAAACUCCUGGGCUCAAGCAAUCAUCCCACUUCAGCUUCUCAAAGUGCAGGGAUUACAGGCGUGAGCCAGUGCACCCGGCCUAUGGCCAUCUGAUUUUUGACAGAAGUGCAGAAGUAAUUCAAUAGAGAAAGGAUCGUUUUCAAGUAACAGUCCUGGAGCAAUUGGAUAUCUAUUGGCAAAAAAAAAAAAAAAAAAAAAAAAAAAAAUCUUGAUCUAAACCUUACACUUUGUACAAAAAUGAACUCUUAAGUGGAAAAUGGAUCAUAGAUUUAAAUAUAAAGCAUAAAACUAUAAAACCUUUAGAAAAUAACAUAUGAGAAAAUCUUUGGGCUAGGUGAAGAGUUCUUAGACACAACACCAAAAACCUGUCAAUUGGGCUUCAUCAAAAUUUAAAUUUGUUUCUCUGCAAAAUACCUGUGAAGAGGAUGAAAAGACAAACUAUGAACUGGGAGAAAAUAUUUGCAAAGCACUUGUAUGACAAAGGCUUUAUAUCUGGAAUAUAUAAUGAAGUCUUGAAAUUCAACAGUAAGAAGACAAACAAUCCAAUUAAAAAAUGAACAGCAGACAUUUCACUGAAGAUACACAGAUGGCAAAUAAACACAUGAAGAGAUGUUCAACAUUUUCAGCCAUUAGAGAAAUGCAAAUUAAAGCCACAAUGAGAUAUCACUACACAUCUAUCAGAAUGGCUAAAAUAAGAAAUAGUGGGCUGGUCCAAGUGCAAUGGUGUUGCAACAAAUUGAUCACAACCACUUACAGAUUUAUUUGUUCUUUUUCCACUCCCACUGCUUCACUUGACUAGCCUUAAAAAAAAAGUGACAUCACCAAAUGCUGGUUGGUCAGAAUGCCAAGAAAUGAAUCACUUAUACAUUGCUGGUAGGAAUGUAAAAUGGCACAGCCACUCUGAAAAGUUUGGCAGUUUAUUAAAUGAAAUAUGCAACUACCAUAUGACCCAGCAAUCCCAGUCUUGAACACUUGUCCCAGGGAAAUGAAACUUAUGUUUACACAAUAACCUGUAUAGUAGUCCUCCUUAUCUACAAUUUUGCUUUCCUUUUUUUUUUUUUUUUUUUUUUUUUUUUUUUUGAGACUCUAGUCUUGCUCUGUUGCCCAGGUUGCUGUGCAGUGGCGUGAUCUUGGCUCACUGCAACCUCUGCCUCCUGGGUUCAAGUGAUUCUCCUGUCUCAGCCUCCUGAGUAGCUGGGAUUACAGGCGUGUGCCAUCACACCCAGCUAAUUUUUGUAUUUUUAAUAGAGACGGGGUUUCCCCAUGAUGGCCAGGCUGGUCUCAAACUCCUGACCUCAAGUGAUCUGCACACCUCAGCCUGCCAAAGUCCUGGGAUUACAGGUGUGCACCACCGCACCCAGCCAGUUUUGCUUUAUGCAGUUUCAGUUACCCACAGUCUGAAAAUAUGUGAGAACAGUACAUUUUGAGGCCACAUUCAUUUAAUUACAGUAUAAUUGUUCUAUUUAUUGCUGUCAGUUUCUUGCAGUGCUUAAUUAAACAUCAAAGGUAUGUAUGUAUAGAAAAAAUAUAUAGAGGACAUAUAGUACAUAUAGCACAUAUGGAUAGUGUAUAUACUAUCCAUGGUUUCAGACACUCACUGGGAGUCUUGGGAUAUAAUCUUCAAAGAUAAAGGGGGACUAUUAUACCUGAUUGUUCAGAUCAGCUUUAUUGUUAAUGCCCCCAAACUGGAAACAACCAAAAUGUUCAAGGUGAAUGGUUAAACUAUAAAUAUAUAUGCUAUGUACAUAGUAUAUUCAUACUAUGGAGUACUGUGUAGCAAUAAAAAGGAAUUAACUAUUGAUACAUGCAACUACCUGGAUGUAUCUCAAGGGAAUGGAGUGAAAAGGCCAUUCUCAAAGGUUAUACUUCGUGAUCCUAUUUACGUAAGAUUCUUGAAAUAAGAAAAUUAUGAAGAACAGAUUAGUGGUUUCCAGGGGUUAGAAAUGGGGGACAGAGGUAGAGAUGGCUAUAAAAGGAUAGUAUGGCAGAGCUCUGUGAUGACGGAACAGCUCUGUAUCUUGCUUAUGUUGCUGUUUUCAUCCAUCUACACAGGUGAUAAAAUGAAAUAGAACUAUAUAUCACAUGCAACACAAAUGAGUGCAUGUAAAAUGGGUGAAAUUUGAAUAAGCUCUGUGGACUGUUCCAAUGCCAAUUUCUUAGUGGUGAAUCUACAGUUAAAAAGCUAAAAAACAUUUUUUUUGGGAAUGUUUUUAGUGCUGCUAAAAAUAGAAGUGGAGCGAUGACAAUAGACCUCAGCUGUGGGAUCAUUCAGUAGCCAGAACCUGGAAUAGUGUGUGAAAGUGUGUGGUUGGGAUUCUUAACAGCAGGGGGAAACGUCAGUCAGUAGAAUCGACUUUUUCCUUCUUCUUCUCAACCAGCUUCCUGAAGCAAAGCCUAUCUUUUCUAUUAAAUUGGUUUUUUCUUAUGCCUCCCCGCUUUUUUUUUUUUUUUUUUUUUGAGACAGGGUCUCAUUCUGUCGCCCAGGCUGGAGUGUGGUGGCACAAUCUUGGCUCACUGCCUGGACCUUCCAGGCUCAGGAGAUUCUCCCACCUCAGCCUCCUGAGUAGCUGGAACUACAGGCAUGUGCCACCACACCAGGCUAAUUUUUUUUGUAGAGCUGGGGUUUCCCCAUGUUGCCCAGAUUGGACUUGAAUUCCUGGGUUCAAGCAAUCUGCUGAGCCAAAGUGUUGGGAUUAUGGGUGUGAGCCACCACACCCAGCCUUUUUUAAUUUAUAAAAUAGAGACAGGGUCCUGCUCUGUCACCCAGGCUGGAGUGCAGUGGCACAAUCUUGGCUCACUGCAGCCUCGACCUCUUGGGUUCAAGCAAUCCUCCCACCUCAGCCUCCCAAGUAGCUGGGACUACAGGGGUGUGCCACUAUGCUUGGCUAAUUUUUUUUGUCGUUGUUGCUUUUUUUGUAGAGAUGAAGUCUCGCCCAGGCUAGUCUAGAACUCCCAGGCACAAGUGAUUGCUCCUGCCUAGGCCUCCUAAAAUGUUGGGAUUAGUGGCGUGAGCCACUGCGCCCAUCCUGCUAAGCCUAUCUUGAAAUGAUAGAUUUUUCUGUCUGUUCCUAUCUGCCUUAUAAUUAGUGACAGACCAUCUGAACCAAACUCAGGAAAGAAUUACCUUAGGAAAGCUUUCAUCAUCAAAAAACAUCUUAUAAUUGCAGAAGUAUAUACAAGAUGAUCUAUUAUCAACAGUUUAUAAUGGCCAAAGAUAAGUCACCAGAAUAUUUGCAGAAAAAAGUUAUAAUGGCCAAAGAAUGGAACAACUUAAAUACACAGGGGAUGGUAAAUCCAUACAAUAAAAUACUGUACACAAGAAAGAAAACAUAAGUGGCACUCUACACACUGCUAUGAAAGCAGAUCAAUAUAAAAGCAGAAAAAAGCCAAGUAUGGAAGUGUAGACUAAAUAUAAAAUACUCACCGGAGGCCAGGCACAGUGGCUCACACCUGUAAUCCUAGCACUUUCGGAGGCCGAGGUGGGUGGAUCACUUGAGGUCAGGGUCUUCAAGACAGGGUCUUCCUAUAUUACCCAGGCUGUCCUUGAACUCCUGCACUCAAAUGAUCCUCCCACCUCAGCCUCUCAAAUAGCAGGGACUAUAGAUGCACAGCACCAUGCCUGGCUUCCAAAAUGGAUGAAUCUUAUUUCACUAUGCUAAGUGAAAUAAGCCAGUCACAGGACAAAUAUUGCAUGAUCCCACUAUAUGAGAUAUCUGUAAUAGUCAAACUCAUAGAAACAGGGUAGAAGGGUGGUUGCUAGGGGCCAGGGAAAUGGAGAGUUGUUCAACAGGUAUAAAGCUUCAGUUAUGCAAGACAAGUAAGGUCUAAAGAUCUGUUGUACAACAUGGUGCCUGGAAUUAACAAUACUAUAUCGUGCACUUAAAGAUUUGUUAAGAGGGUAGGUCUUGAGUUAAGUGUUCUUACCACAGAAGACAAAACAAAAACUCAACAGCAACCAAAAAGCAAAAAACAAAGGGGCAGGAGGAAACUUGUGGAGAUGACAGGUAUGUUUAUUACCCUGAUUGUGGUGAUGGUAUCAAAGGUGUGUGCAUAUAGUCAGACCCAUCAAAUUGUAUUCAUUAAAUAUGUAACAACUGUACUUCUAUAAAGCUGGUAAAAAACACUGUACCUGUUUGUUUUUACUUCAACGUGGCUAUAAGAAAAUAUAAAAUUACAUUACAGCUUGCAUUCUAUUUGUAUAGUACUGUCCUGCUCAAGAUGGAUUAACAGGUGUGUGACACUCACUGCCUGCUGAGAGCAGGGUGUAGGGAACCUGGGGUUGGAAAGGAGACUUGUCACCGUAUGCUCUUCCAUUUAUCAAUAUUUCAUAUUUUGAGAAGACAUGAACUUUUUGAACAAAGAUAACAGAAAAUCAUUGUCAAUAGUUAAUCUACCAGAGAGAUUCAGAAACCUUGCAUACUUGGUUUUCAGGUCUUGGUUGAGAGUUCUAACACCGUUGAAAAAUCUCAAGAGUAACCUGGUAAUGAUAUCUUCAUUGAAUUAAAAUUACAUUUUGCUUUAAUCUGAUAGUCCUCUUAAUCCAAAAGGUCAACAUCAAGUUAAACAACAUCCAGUUUCACUUUGAUGUUCAUAGCUGCCAGUUCAGCUACAAAAUACCGAAAAACAUAAGGCACAGAAACAGUAUCGAUAGUGUCACUGCGACUACACAGAGUACAGUUGUAUUUUCUGUUGCGCAUGGCAGACCAAGAAGGGGGUGGCUUCUCCAACAGUGGAGAGAGUAAACUGCCACACUUCACACACACAUGGGCUACCGACCGAUCUGAGCAGUUGAAGAGGCGGUCAUGAAGGAGAAAAGAUGUACCAUGAGCUAAAAGCGCAUCCCGUUCCAUCUCCCCAAAACGGAUUCCACCCUGGACAUUUCUUCCCCCAAUAGGCUGGUUGGUGACUCUGUCUCGGGCUCCAGUUGUCCUUACUUGAAAUUUGUCUGAGACCAUAUGGCGUAAGCGCUGAUAAUAAACCACUCCUAUGAAGAUGUCUGCUUCCAGUUCUAGCCCACUGAUGCCACUAUAUAACCUCUCGGUGCCAUAGAAAUUGUAGCCAGCAGCCUUUAACAUCUCACCAAAGUAUUCUAAGGCCGAGUUCUCCUCUGAGAAGAUGAAGGGUGUAGCAUCAUGGCAGAGACCAUGCAAAGCUGCAGACUUCCCGGCCAUACUCUCAAUUAACAUCCCAAUGGUCAUGCGGGAUGGAAAACCAUGGGGAUUGAACAGAAUGUCUGGGACCAUCCCACUCUCAGUAAAAGGCAUGUCCUCAGCCGGCCACAAUCUGCUUAAAAUGCCCUUCUGCCCAUGGCGACUGGCAAAUUUAUCUCCGAUAGUUGGGUUCCGAGGCACUCUCAUAGUGAUGCAAACACACUUGAAUUUUCCACUCCCAGUGUCAUUACUGCACACUUUGAUGUUAUCCACAACACAAUUUUCUUUACUCCUAGGAAAAAGUAAACCAUAUAAGGUCAAC
Molecule: long non-coding RNA, 9494 nt
Filed under: Homo sapiens (human)
Lineage: Eukaryota; Metazoa; Chordata; Mammalia; Primates; Hominidae
Description: non-protein coding lnc-RGPD8-5:2
Rfam family: Y RNA (bases 4727-4827)
Source: RNAcentral